This 28-nucleotide small RNA is filed under the name Bombyx mori (domestic silkworm). RNAcentral's name for it is "piRNA piR-bmo-1909247". The record is from RNAcentral. Lineage: Eukaryota; Metazoa; Arthropoda; Insecta; Lepidoptera; Bombycidae.
UAAUACUGUUCAUGCGCUCUACUUGGCC